CUCGGUGGUGGUCCGUCGCAGGGGAUGAGGGGGGGUUUAUGCAUGUUUGAUUGGGGAUAAACUUGGCGGUCAUGCACCCGCCCACGAUCAUGGUAGCGGUUGUGCACGACCUAAUGGCUGGCGGCCAUUCGAACGGCCCGCGGAGUCGUCACUGGCCAUGACUCCGUGGCCUUAUCCUCUCAAUGGCUGGCGGAUCGGGUAGGGAAACACGGUUCCUCUGUUCUGAUCCAAAACAUUUUUGAAUUUUCGAAUUGAAGUCAGCGGGUGCUGCCGACUUCAUUCUGGGAUGGGCCUUUAUGGGCCGGUUCUCACAUACACGAUAUAAAUCAUGGAUAAAAUGUUUGAAGCAGUAGACUGAAUGAUUCUAAUAAUAGAGGAAUGACGUACAGAGUGGUAUGCAAGGGAUAUGUGGAUGAUUAACUCCUGCAGAUUUUUGCAAUGAUGUAACUCAUGCAACUUAUGUCCCCUUUAUACCUUCCAUCUAGAUCAUGCCACAUCCUAUUCACAAAAUUGCCUCAAAGCUUUCUGUGAAGCUAUGAAGCAAGUGGUUCUAUCACUAUGGUACCAAAAUAAAAGUUUUUGUUAAUGCUUUCUAAUUACAUCAGUUUGGCACCAAAAUCAAUUGUUUAUAGUUCUUCAAUUAGAUGAGUCCUAAAUCCUGCAUAAUAUCCUAUUCCAGCUACUUUAAAAGAGCUAGCAGACUGGUCUCAUGAAAAGUGAAUGUUUGUGUAUGUGUGUUUUUUUUUAAGAUCAAUUUUAGUAGGGGGAUCAAAAGGAUGAAAACUUUCAUAAGUGGCUGAACAUGAAGCUUAAUAAUUUAAAAGCUGAUAACUAUAAACAGAUGCUCACACAGAUGUAAAAUACUGCAUGUUCGUCCGAUUCCUGUUUACCUAAAAAUAUGCUAAACAGAUCGUUGUUAAAACCGACAAACAAAGUUUAAAUUAAUUUUACUCUUACCUUUCCUACUCGAAGAAUAGUGUUUGUAAGAGGUCGAUCCACAGAGAGGCGAUUGGAGUUGCAUAAAAAUUAGAACAUUCAUUCGGAUUCAAAAUCGAUUUUUGAAUAACAAAAGAAAAACAUUAUAUCNNNNNNNNNNNNNNNNNNNNNNNNNNNNNNNNNNNNNNNNNNNNNNNNNNNNNNNNNNNNNNNNNNNNNNNNNNNNNNNNNNNNNNNNNNNNNNNNNNNNNNNNNNNNNNNNNNNNNNNNNNNNNNNNNNNNNNNNNNNNNNNNNNNNNNNNNNNNNNNNNNNNNNNNNNNNNNNNNNNNNNNNNNNNNNNAAAAAGAAAAUUCAUUACAAAUAAAAGUGGAGAUUGGAAACCUAAUGUUUCUUCUCUUUUACAAAUAACAUAAAAAAAAUAAAACAAAAAGCUUCUCCCUCCCGCUAGAACAUAAAAUAUUAUUUUUUUAAUUCUUUUCUUCCCCCCAAGAACAGAGCAAUGCUCUGUUUUCCUUCUCAACCGAGCUCACCUCCUCCUCCUUGGACCCGCUGGCCACCACCCAAACCGAGCUCACCUCCUCCUCUUCGUUCUCCCCUUCUUAUAGUGCCACAGCAAGCGUGGAUGGCUGAAUCAUGGGCGGAAGGAGAGGGCGGACGGGCUCUUGGCUGGAACGGUGGCUUGAUCACAGCACGCUUGAUGGGCGCGGGAUCGCUGGAAUCGGGGAAGGUCGUCCGGGAUGCGGAAGGAUGAAUGCGAGACACACGUGGAUGGCCAGAGGAGGCUAGGAUGGGCUGGAUCUCUGCAUGCAUCACGGGAUCUUGGACAUGGAAGGAGGGAGGAGCUGCAGACGGGCGCCGAUCCGGAAGGAGGACGGCGUGAUUGCUGGGGUGCCGGAUGAAGAAGAUCCCGGCUUGCUGAUUUGGGAAGGAAGAAGACGCUGCGGGAUGAGCUGGAAACGUUGGUUGGAGACGCGUGGAUCACUGGAGGGGCGGACGUCGGUUGCUGGCUAGCGGGCUGAGGCGGAGGCUGCCGUGGGAUCGUCCGGCUUGGAUCACGGGAGAGGGGCUGGAGCUUACUUGGAAAGCGCCGCGGGACCACUGCUAGCAUCACGGGAGGGAAGAGCUGGCUCGGGAGCUCUCGAUGUGGAGGAGGCCGGACGGGAUGAGUGGCUGUGAGCCGCUGGGAGCAGCGUUGAAGACGCGGAAUGGAAGAGACGCACGUGGGAUGAGGCGGAGGAGCUGCAGAUCUGGAAAGAGUUGGAGGUGUCGUGGACAGCGGAUGGUGGCGUGAUCACGCCUUGCUGGAACGUUGAAUGGGUCAUGUGCCAGUUUCUGCAAUGGACUUAGAUUUUGGAAGGUCUGGGACUUUCUUUGCCCUCCUGAGAUGAGAGCUGGGAGAUGCCAAGUUCCGUCCAAUUAGUCAUAUAGAUAAAAAAAUAGUGUGAUAUGAAAUUUGGCUUGUAGACGGACGGACUGAGUUCGUCACGGGUCAUCUGUUCUGACUGGAGGUUAAGUGCAAGUCUUUCAAGUCAUGGGUCACCCAGCACCUCAUAGUUAUGAUAUGGCCAAAUUAGAUUUGCCCAAAAUUCCUUCCCAAAAACACGAAGAAAAUGGACUUGAUUCGGACCCGAACCUGACUCGGACCCGACCCGAUAUUCAACCGGAUCGGAUCUGGGGAGGGAUCCUUUUGAAGUCAAAUUUGUACUCAAUGUGCAUUUUAUCUCUAAUUUAUGAUAAUCUGUGUCAACCCCAAAUAUAAUAUUAAUCCAGUGAAUUUAUCAUUAUCGGUUAGCAAUAACACUAAUUUUAGUGACAUGUAGGUUGCACUUUUGUGCUCUCAUCACACCCCCCAACUAGCUUAUUGCUAGUCUCUAGCAAUUAACAAGCAAACGAUAAAAUGAGGGCACAAAAAGAUGUAGUCUAACUUAUGACUUUUUCUCCUUUUUUUUUUUGAAUUGAAGCUAAAUACACAAACUAAGAUAUGCACCCAUUUUCGUAGGGAGUAACGAUUGCACUUAGCACGUGCAACAAGCCUUUAAACCCCUAGGUUACCCUAGUGGACGAGUGCUGUCUCGUGAGGGUUUGCAGUGAAGUUACCCACAAACUUCAUUAGUCAGGAAUUUCUAAUGUUUAACUCAAAAUUUGAACAAGUAUCAUUGUAUGAACUUAGAAUUGCAAGGACAAUAAAGACUUAUUGCUAUCAUAUUUAAGCCGACUCUAACUCAAGUUCCAUUACUCCCCAUCUAUCUGCUAACAAGUCAAGAAUGUAGUGAGGUGCAAGAUAAUAUCAUAUAAAUGAGUGGCUUUCACUUACUUCCAACAUGAUCACUCCAAUUUUCAAGAUUUUCUAGAGUUAAAUGGUAAUGAACACCCCAAUUUUUUUUUAUUGUUAUAUUUUUUUUUAUCAGACUGAAUGCUAAGAAGAAUGACUUGUGCAAUAUCUAGCCUUAUUAAGCUUUCUAGCUGACCCAUGUAGCGAGUGUUAGGCCAAUGACUCCUGAUCCAGAUGGCUCAGGGCACUAGGUGUAGAGACACCCUAACGGGCUUAAUAACUCAAGUUAACUAGGCUUCAAGGCCAAAUUAGUCACUCAAAGUUUAAUCUCAAUCAUUCUCAUCUUUUUACGCGAACACUCGCUGCUUGCCAGGCAAGAGGCCCGGUUACUCAGUGAGAAGACUUAAAAUAAACUUAUUAUUUUAUUUUAUCUUUUUUUUUUGAUUAGGGGGUUCAUUACACAUAUAACUUUAAAUUAUCCCGAAUAUUAAAGUAUUCAUAUUAGUUGCAAGUAUACAUACCCCACUAUUUAUGUGCUUACGUGUAGGUGCUAAAUCAUCUUGUAUUAUAUUAGCAGAAGAUAGGUGGGACGAAAACUCAAGCUAGAAUUGCUAUCAUAUUCCUUAACUCAAAGCUAUUGUCAAAGCAAUUCCUAGUUUGUACAGCCAAAAAGAUUAGAGUUUGAGUUAAAAAUUUGAACUCCUUUUUUUUAUUUUAAUUUUAAUUUUUUUUUUGGCAUCAAAAAUAUUCUCACCCCCGUACCUAAAUCUAACAUUGUCCUCAAUGUUAAAGAAGAUUUAAAGCAGUAAUAGGAUAGAGGAGAAGUUACCUGAUAUGGGUAGGUAAAUUAACAAUUGGGGUAAAAAAAAUCCCAAACCUGCAUGUUAGUAAUUUUUUUUUAUAAUAUUUACAUGUUGGGUUGCCUUCCAAGAGCGCUAAGUUUUAUGUCUUCAGCCGGACAAAAUGUGAAUCCUCUUUUUUUUCAACCAUUAUCUAAGAAUGGUUUUGGAAGAGUCCGAUGAAGAACAGUUGGCUGAUGACGAUCUAUGCUCAUAAGGGGAAUAGAACUAAGGGGCGCAUGCUUGACCCCUUUCUCGGAAUGGACAAGGUAAGCUUCUAAAGGGUCCUUAUUAUAAGUUUGUAAGAAAGUCUCCUGAACCAGACUUUCAAUCAUGUCAACUUCAUUGAUUUUUUUGUCGUCUGGUGGUUGUUUACUUAUGUUGAAGACAUUAAGCUCGACUUUCAUGUUGCCAAAAGAUAAUUUUAGCAUCCCAUUCGACAGUUGAUCACAGCAUUUGCUGUGGCUAAGAAAGGCCUACCUAAAAUUAUAGGUGUAUGACUGUCUGGAUGUAUUGCAGGUUCAGUCUCAAGGAUAACGAAGUCCACAGGAUAGUAAAACUCGUUUACUUUCACUAUUUCAUCCUCUACAAUCCCCUUGGGGUACUUCACUGUCCUAUCUGCUAAGGACAGGGUAAUAUUUGUAGGCUUUAAUUCUCCCAAACCUAACUUUUGGUACACAUAGUAGGGAAGUAGGUUCACACUGGCUCCUAAAUCUAAUAGAGCUCUCUGGAUGAUCGUCUCUCCUAUUUUUAUUUCAAUGGUUGGGCAACCAGGGUCUUUGAAUUUCGGUGCAAUCUGUUGUUGAAUGAGAGAUGAGGCUUGUGCAGCCAUAACAGCUUGUCUAGGAAUACUGGUUUUUCUUUUGACCGUGGUGAGGUCUUUCAAGAAUUUUGUAUAGGAGGGAAUUUGUCUUAUGGCAUCGAGAAAAGGUAUAUUUAUUUGAACAGUUUUAAAAACUUCCAUUAUUUCAUCAAAGUUAGAUUGUUUCUUGGAGUCCUGAAGUCUACUGGGAAAGGAAACCUUAGGUUUGUAUGUUUCUAUGGGUUCUUCCUUUUUGUCUGAUUUAUCCUGUUCUUGACCCCUCUUCUGAAUAGGGUUCUUAUCGGAUUCAUUUUUAUUUUCUUUUUCAUGUUCAGGAAGUUGGACUUUAUUGUCCACUUGCUUGCCAGACCUUAAAGUGGUAAUCGUCUGGACUUCAUAGGUCGGAUUUCCAUUAGAAUCGAUUUGAUACUGACCUCUCUGACCUUGAUUUUGUUGUCUACUAGGGUUAGGCACUGGUUGACUAGGUAGUUCACCUUUCUUUCUAUCCCCUAGAGAGUUUGCUAUUUGGCUUAGACUAACCUCAAGUUUUGCAAUCGCUUGCGCAUGGAAUUGGUUAGUUUGGGCUUGGGCUGUGUUGGUCUGUUGUUGUUGCUUAAUAAAAUCUUAUUGUUGCUUCAUCAUAUUAACCAUCAUGGUUUCUAAUGGUGAAGGUUGCUGCGGGAUAGGGGCAUUAUAAGGAGGUACAGAUGGAACCAAAAGUUGGUUCAUUUGUGAUGGACCUAUCCUGGGGAAGUUGUUCUGAAAAUCUGGUAGACCACCUUGAUGCUGAAUAGGUUCGUUCUGCUUGUAUGAGAAAUUUGGGUGGAACCUAUUAUCAGGAUGGUAGAAUGGACUGAAUGAAUUGGGAGUGGGCUUCUUGAAGGCACUAUACGAAUUUAGAGCAUUUGCUUGCUCGGCCUUUAUGGUGGGCAGAUUAGGACAGCACUCCACUAGAUGUUCCGGACUGUUACACAAGACACAUAAACUAUGUGACUCGUGAUCCACUUUCAUGAUGGGAUUUGACUCUUUGUAUGAACUCGAACUAGUGAAAACAGUGAAAGCAUCAAACUUUUUACUUAAGUUGUUCAUUCUCAGUCACCAGAUUGGACAUGACAUUUUUGAGUUCUGGAUAUGUUUUCAUUUCAUAAUUAUCUGGUUUUCUAGAUCCGAACUCAUCUCUAUUUACUUCCUCACCAUAGCUACUCCAAUUUUGGGCAUUUUCGGCUAAGUCAACAAGAAAUUCAUAGGCUUGAUCUGGGGUUUGGUUCAUGAACCUACCUUUGUGCAUGGACUCGAUCAUGUUUCUAUGUGCCGGAGGUAGUCCUUUAUAAAAGAAGUGGACCAGAUCAGCCUUAUCAAGCCCAUGGUGUGGGCAUUUGACCAACAAGUCAUGGAAUCAUUCCCAAGUUUGGAAGAAUUCCUCUUCAGAUUUCCCUCUAAAAGUUCUUAUGGCAUCCUUAAUUUUUUCUGUUUUAAUCAUGGGAUAAAAUUUUGCCAUGAACUUCCUAGAUAGUUGUUCCCAUGUUGUGAUGGAAUUUGGGGCCAGAGAAUAUAGCCAGGCCGCGGCUCGAUCCUCUAAGGUCAUUGGGAACAAUCUCAAUUUUACACUUUCUUCAUCUAAAUUUUGAUUUUUGAAAGUUUGACAAAUUGUCAUGAAUUUAUUUAGAUGAAUGUAGGGUUGUUCACUUUCAAACCCAUGGAAUUUGGGUAGCAUAUUUAUUGUCGCAGCCCGAAUUUCAAAUUGGGCUGCAUUAUUUAUUGGCAACACUAUACAUGUAGGUGGACUAGCGGAUGCAGGAGUGAAUAAUUCAUUCAGGGUUCUAAUGUGUUCACCCAUUGUAGAGAUUGACAGUUGAUUUACAGUUCGCAAGUUGUGAUAAAAAGUUCUGUCAAUCUCAGGAUCAAAUGGGGUUAACUUAUCCCUUAAUGACCUUCUACCAUGCAUACAUUAUCAACACUUCAUUAUAUUUGACUCCUAUAAUGAACGAAAUCCUAAAAGAAGAGAAGGGCUAGACACAGAUGACCACAACAAUUUGACCCUAUUAGUCUUAGAAUUAAGUGAGGUUUAGUAGCUUCUUAAAUCUAGUUGCACAGAGAUUUAUCAGGUUAAAAAGUUUCUGAAAUUCUCUCCUAGAUUAGACAGCUCCUAAUCUUCCUUUCAGAUUAAGCUUGAGCUUACCAGUUAAGCGAUUCAGUAACCAGUGACCAGGAAAGUCCCGAGGUGUGUGGUGGUGCCAGAAGGGUACACCGAUACCACAAUACCCGUAACAGUUCUCACUGUUGUAAAACUUUCCUAGACAUCACCAAUUACUAAAUCCUCACUGGAGUGGCUUUCAGCCGCUUCUUUCCAAGAGCCUAAUUGAGCUCGAAAACCCUAAGGCCAACGUCUAAUUUGAUUUUAAUUUAAUUUGGCUUAGGAUAUGUAUGCAAGGUGGUGAUUUUUGGGCUAAGGACNNNNNNNNNNNNNNNNNNNNAUUUUUUUAUUUAUUUUUUUAAAUUUUUUUUAAAUUUUUUUUAAAUUUUUAUAUAGCAAUAACUUGAAUGUAAACUAAAUACAAUCCUUAUGCGUCAGUCAAUCUCCGAAUGCCCGUUGAAUAAGCUCUGGAGAUUACUCCGUGAGGAGUCCCAAUAGAGGUAUGAUAACCUCGGAGGAUUGCACCCUAUCAAUUACUAGCAAAAAUAAUUUUUUUUUUGAUUUAAUUUUUUCUUUUUAAAUUUCAAAUUUCAAAUCUCAGAAUUCAAAUUUUGAAUUUAAAUUUUUUGAAUUUUUGAAUUUUGAAUUUUUUUUUAUUUUUUUUUGAAUAUUAAAUUUCGAAUUUCAAAUUUCAGAAUUUAAUAACUACGAAAUUAUUAACUAGAAAUUAUCAAAAUAAGGAAAAUUAAUAAAAAUAAAAAUAAAAACUUACUACCGGAGUGCGUUUACUCCGGACAUCCAAAAUUCGAUUUGAUCUUCGUGAUCGUUCUUGCUUCUCGAUUUGCCUCCCCGGCAACGGCGCCAAAAUUUUGUUCGUCCGAUUCUUGUUUACCUAAAAAUAUGCUAAACAGAUCGUUGUUAGAACCGACAAACAAAGUUUAAAUUAAUUUUUCUCUUACCUUUCCUACUCGAAGAAUAGUGGUUGUAAGAGGUCGAUCCACAGGGAGGCGAUUGGAGUUGCAUAAAAAUUAGAACAUUCACUUGGAUUCAAAAUCGAUUUUUGAAUAAUAAAAGAAAAACAUUAUAUCGGGGAUGAUGAUAGAUUCUCUAGUCUAUCAGAGAAUCUUCUUUAUUUAAAAAUAAUAAAAAGACAAGUACUUAGAAAUCAAAGAGCAUUUAUAAAUUCAUGAAAUGUUUAACUAUUCAAAGAAAAAUUUUGGCAUAAAUUAAAAUGGAUGAAAACAAGUGCUAAGAAGAUCAAAAGCCUAGAACAUAAAUUGCAUAAAAGAAAAUUUAAUGUAUUGCAUCAAAGAAGAAUUAAAAGAUUGCAUUAAAAAAAAUAGAAAUUAAGUUGAACCUAGAACAAGGAUUGCAUGAAAAAGAAAUGAUAGAUUUGAUAAAAAGAAAAUUUAUUGCAAAUAAAAGUGGAGAUU
RNAcentral lists this long non-coding RNA (8417 nucleotides) under Phoenix dactylifera (date palm). RNAcentral describes it as "long non-coding RNA (PDAC_LNC008371)". The record is from RNAcentral. Lineage: Eukaryota; Viridiplantae; Streptophyta; Magnoliopsida; Arecales; Arecaceae.